CAAUUAUCCACAAAUAUUUUCGGAUUCAAUUUGUCGGUAGAGACAAUUCAUGAAUUGUCUCUACCGAUAACAACAAUAACAAUAACGAAAACGCCA
Molecule: microRNA precursor, 96 nt
Filed under: Tannerella forsythia 3313
Lineage: Bacteria; Pseudomonadati; Bacteroidota; Bacteroidia; Bacteroidales; Tannerellaceae
Source: RNAcentral